Molecule: ribosomal RNA, 842 nt
Filed under: uncultured organism
Description: bacterial SSU rRNA
Rfam family: Bacterial small subunit ribosomal RNA
Source: RNAcentral
CGUGCCAGCAGCCGCGGUAAUACGAAGGGCCCGAGCGUUAUUCAGAAUCACUGGGCUUAAAGCGUGCGCAGGCGGAAACGUCAGUGUCUUGUGAAAUCNCACGGCUCAACCGUGGAAUUGCAGGGCAUACUGCGUUUCUUGAGGUCGGUAGAGGUCGCCGGAACUCUAGGUGUAGCGGUGAAAUGCGUAGAUAUCUAGAGGAACGCCGAAGGUGAAGACAGGCGACUGGGCCGAUUCUGACGCUCAGGCACGAAAGCGUGGGGAGCAAACAGGAUUAGAUACCCUGGUAGUCCACGCCGUAAACGUUGUGCACUAGAUCCUGGAGGUACUGACACCGUCGGGGUCGAAGAUAACUUGCUAAGUGCACCGCCUGGGGAGUACGGUCGCAAGGCUAAAACUCAAAGGAAUUGACGGGGGCUCACACAAGCGGUGGAGCAUGUGGCUUAAUUCGAGGCAUCGCGAAGAACCUUACCUGGGUUUGACAUGCUUGGAUUAGCCUGUCGAAAGACAGGUGACGCUAAUUCUAGUGGAACUUGCACAGGUGCUGCAUGGCUGUCGUCAGCUCGUGCUGUGAAGUGUCGGGUUAAGUCCCUUAACGAGCGAAACCCCUGCCGCUAGUUGCCAUCAGGUCAAGCUGAGCACUCUAGCGGGACUGCCGGUGUCAAACCGGAGGAAGGUGGGGAUGACGUCAAGUCCUCAUGGCCUUUAUGCCCAGGGAUGCACACGUGCUACAAUGGUAGGUACAACGCGACGCGAUGCCGCGAGGCGGAGCAAAUCGCAAAAAACCUGCCCCAGUUCGGAUCGCAGUCUGCAACUCGACUGCGGAAGUUGAAUCGCUAGUA